GACGAACGCUGGCGGCGCGCUUAACACAUGCAAGUCGAACGGAAAGGCCUGCUUUCCCUUGUGGAUUGCGGGUACUCGAGUGGCGAACGGGUGAGUAACACGUGAGUGAUCUGCCCCCAACUUAGGUAUAAGCCUGGGAAACUGGGUCUAAUUCCCGAUAGGACUGCAGGGUGGUGCCUGUGGUGGAAAACGAUUUUCUAGUGGUUGGGGAUGAGCUCGCGGCCUAUCAGCUUGUUGGUGGGGUAAUGGCCUACCAAGGCGGCGACGGGUAGCCGGCCUGAGAGGGUGGACGGCCACAUUGGGACUGAGAUACGGCCCAGACUCCUACGGGAGGCAGCAGUGGGGAAUAUUGCACAAUGGGCGGAAGCCUGAUGCAGCGACGCCGCGUGGGGGAUGACGGCCUUCGGGUUGUAAACUCCUUUCGACCGCGAGGAAGCCACCUGGUUGGAAGGGUGGUGACGGUAGUGGUAGAAGAAGCACCGGCUAACUACGUG
Molecule: ribosomal RNA, 494 nt
Filed under: uncultured bacterium
Lineage: Bacteria
Description: partial 16S ribosomal RNA
Rfam family: Bacterial small subunit ribosomal RNA
Source: RNAcentral